RNAcentral lists this ribosomal RNA (468 nucleotides) under uncultured bacterium. RNAcentral describes it as "partial 16S ribosomal RNA". It matches the Rfam family "Bacterial small subunit ribosomal RNA", at positions 28 to 507 of the family's 1533-position model. The record is from RNAcentral.
GACGAACGCUGGCGGCGUGCUUAACACAUGCAAGUCGAGCGGAAAGGCCCUGCUUUUGUGGGGUGCUCGAGUGGCGAACGGGUGAGUAACACGUGAGUAACCUGCCCUUGACUUUGGGAUAACUUCAGGAAACUGGGGCUAAUACCGGAUAGGAGCUCCUGCUGCAUGGUGGGGGUUGGAAAGUUUCGGCGGUUGGGGAUGGACUCGCGGCUUAUCAGCUUGUUGGUGGGGUAGUGGCUUACCAAGGCUUUGACGGGUAGCCGGCCUGAGAGGGUGACCGGCCACAUUGGGACUGAGAUACGGCCCAGACUCCUACGGGAGGCAGCAGUGGGGAAUAUUGCACAAUGGGCGGAAGCCUGAUGCAGCAACGCCGCGUGCGGGAUAACGGCCUUCGGGUUGUAAACCGCUUUCGCCUGUGACGAAGCGUGAGUGACGGUAAUGGGUAAAGAAGCACCGGCUAACUACGUG